CGACUUUCAGAGAUGGAUUGGUGCCUUCGGGAACUCUGAGACAGGUGCUGCAUGGCUGUCGUCAGCUCGUGUUGUGAGAUGUUGGGUUAAGUCCCGUAACGAGCGCAACCCUUGUCCUUUGUUGCCAGCAGUUCAGGGUGGGACUUCUAAGGAAACGGCCGGUGACAAAUGGAAGAAAGGGGGGAAUAACUUCAAUUCAUCUGGGCCUUUACAGUCUGGCUACCACACUUCUACCAUGGGUCAUACCAAAGGGUCGCCCUCCCCAGAGUGGAGCUAAUCUCACAAAACCGAUCUAAUCCCGAUUGGAGUCUGCAACUUCACUCCAUGUGAAGUCGAAAUCUAGUAAAUCUACAAAUCAAAUGUACGCGUGUGAUAUACUUCCCCCGGGGUUGGUACCCCCCGAGA
RNAcentral lists this ribosomal RNA (405 nucleotides) under Marinobacterium sp. OOR52. Its description in RNAcentral is "bacterial SSU rRNA". The stretch from base 1 to 340 matches the Rfam family "Bacterial small subunit ribosomal RNA", at positions 994 to 1333 of the family's 1533-position model. The record is from RNAcentral. Lineage: Bacteria; Pseudomonadati; Pseudomonadota; Gammaproteobacteria; Oceanospirillales; Oceanospirillaceae.